This is a long non-coding RNA of Triticum aestivum (bread wheat), 2609 nucleotides long. RefSeq lists it as uncharacterized. The transcript is spliced from 4 exons. The record is from RefSeq and is a predicted model, not a curated record. Lineage: Eukaryota; Viridiplantae; Streptophyta; Magnoliopsida; Poales; Poaceae.
AGCCCAUAUGCAACUGCCCUUGAGACCCGCUCACGCCCCAACAGAUCGAGGCCUCGAGGCCAUGAUUUUGCAGUAAUAAAUGGCAAAACGAGGCCACCAUCUCUCAGAUUCUCCGUUCCCAGCGAUUCCUCCGCGUCGCCGCGAGAGCUCCUCGCCCGUAGCCUCCUCCUCGAACGCCGACGGUCGCACGGUCCUCCUUCUCCAACGCCGCUGCGCGACCUCCUUCCUCCACCAACACUGCUGCGCCCCACUGCAGCAGACGCGACUCCGCUGUCAGCUCGGCCACUCCGCUGUCCAUGGACUCAGAUACGUGCGCCUCUCACUCAUUUUACCAUUUCUGCAUCUCAUACAAGAUUUCAGAAGAUACAUACUCUGUAAAGGGAAAACAGAGAUGACAUUUUUCCUUCUGCUCGAAUAAGCACGAGUGUACGUACCAUUCGCUAAAGAGCAGAGAUGACAUUUAAUUAACGAUCUUGAUGUUAAAAACUGAAACACUGCGUGAAACUGCAAAUACAAUUCAGUAUGCACAGGCCCUAAUUUCUCUCUUAAGGUUUUUUUAGUAGACAGAGAGGAUAAACGUUAUGAUAAGAAUAGACUCACGUUUAAGUAAUCUGAUAAGAAUAGACUCACUCUGCUAUAUAUCAUUAUCUUGUGUUCUUGUCUAGAACUUUUUCUUGGAUGUUGUAAACAUGAAUGCGUGUGUGACCAGAAAGAAACAGAACGGCGGCUUGCACACAUGAGCUCUUAAUCAUGUAGGCUAGGCUACCAAGAAUGGGACGCGGCUGUUCUGCUCGCGAGCACAGGUGAGCACUUUAUCUGGGCGGCUGGACCUAGCGUCGGGAUGUGUAGCGCGCAAUUAUUGGGCCAACCAGUCCCUCUUUUUUAAUUCACAUGGUCAGAGAAUACCCUAUACUGCUGCGUAGUUCGUCCCACCGGAGACUGGGCUCGUAGUUGGUGCCGUGACGGCGAGAAAGCAGAGCCGUGGCUCGGGAUUUUGGCUCUCCGCCUGAUCCAUGGCUCAGGAGGUGUGAUUUCUGGUAGGGCCAGUGUGGACGCUAGUAAUGACAAACGCGGAGCUGUCUCCCACCUCUGGCUAAAAUAUUUUGGAUCGCCAUUGACGUCAGUGAAGAUCUGCGGUGGAGCAAAACCAGGCGGCGCUUGCUGGAAUGGAGUCCUGAUGCAACCCAUUAGGAGAAUCGUGGUGAUGGAAGAGGUUAGCGAUAGCCAGCUUCCAAUGGAGCCGCUGCACCACCCCGCGGUGGCGACUGAAGCUGAGCAGCUACCACCCAUGCGACUGGUAGCGUGCACGGGCAGAUCUGUGCGGCGGAGGGGGGAGUCGCAGGCGAGGGGGAUGCUGAACCGCAAGCAUCUGAGAAAUCUAUUGCACAGAUUGAUCCGAAAACACCAGGCUGGACUUGCAGGGUUAGAAUUGGAGCCGAUGCCCCAGGAAGGGCACCUUGCCCUGGGCGAACAAGCGCCCUUGAGAAGGCAACACGGGGUGCGCUGAUCAACCUGGGAACAUUGUAAUUGUUCCAGCACUUGGUACAAGCUUCGAUACCCUCGGGGAGGCAUAUGAUUUCUACAAUCUCUACUCGUGGGAGAAGGGUUUAGGAAUAAGGGUAAAGCUGGGGUGGAGAACACUAGAUCGUGUCGGUGUGAGUGUCCUGCAUUAACAAGACUCCUCCAAUCGAAGGACAAUGGAUGGUACAUAGGGGAGCAUCUGAACAUCUCAAUCAUUCAUUGUCUCCAACGUAUGGUCAGACAAUACACUGGCUCAGCAUAUUGAUGCCAACAGCAGAGACUUGGUGGAGCAUUUGCGACAGAACAAUGUGAACGUGGCAAAAGUACACAACAUCAUUGGGAGUUUUUUUUUGGCUCAAUGGAAAGGUACCUUUCACAAAAAGAGCUCUGAAGAAUUUGUGUGGUAAAAUCAGCAGAGAGCAGGCAGAGGAUGAUGUUAGGAAAACUAUGGAGGUUUUCGCAGAUCCGGGUUCAAGAGAUUCGCAUUUCACUUACCGAGUCCAGGCAGGCAAAGAUGGUCGGAUAACCACUCUUAUGUGGGCAAAUGGGAGCAGCAGGUUGCAGUACACAUUCUUCGGAGACAUUGGUUGACAAAUAUAAUUUAAAGAUGCAUGACUACAUGACCCAACUUUAUGAAAUAAGACACAAGUGGGAACAGACCCAAUGGACUGUUGGCGCCAAAGAAGCGGAAAGAAAUAGGGCGACCAACAGCUAGCAGAUAGAAGGCUCCGUACGAGGAGCUGAGCAAACGAACGCGGUUCUGCACCAUAUGUCGCGGGCAGGGGCAUAAGAGGACAACAUGUCCGGACCGAGGUGAUACCCCGAAACCUGUUCACAAACCGGCAAGGUGCAAAAAUUGUGGAAUUGAAGGUCAUGGGCAAAACAACUGCCACAAAGUGGGUGAUCUGCGGUUGACUGGCAUGUGAACAAUGGCUGGAACCUAUCGAUUGAGACUGUAAAACUGUAGAACUGAAAUCUGUAGAACUUAGGUAGUUCCGUCAAUAGAAGUGCUUCUUGUUUCAUGGUUGCUCAGUGUAUGGAUGGCAAAAUAAAUAAAUAAAUAAACAAAUGGAACGGCCGAACAAAAA